AUACCUUCACUGACUCCAGCUCUGCUUAUUUAAGAAUGGAAGGGCUGGCAGGCAGUGGCCGUAAACACCAGUCCUCCUGGUAGCUAAUGAAGUCUGUGGCAUGUUUAUGCUGCUCCAAGGAACCUUUGAGAUGGUU
This is a small nucleolar RNA of Acomys russatus (golden spiny mouse), 136 nucleotides long. RefSeq annotates it as small nucleolar RNA SNORA70. The transcript has a single exon. The record is from RefSeq and is a predicted model, not a curated record. NCBI's taxonomy places the organism in Eukaryota, Metazoa, Chordata, Mammalia, Rodentia, Muridae.